GUGAGAAUUGAACAAUAAGAACAGUUGGACACAGGGCAGAGAACAUCACACAUCGGGGCCUGUCAUGGGGUGGGGGGAGGGGGGAGGGAUAGCAUUAGGAGAAAUACCUAA
Molecule: long non-coding RNA, 111 nt
Organism: Nomascus leucogenys (northern white-cheeked gibbon)
Lineage: Eukaryota; Metazoa; Chordata; Mammalia; Primates; Hylobatidae
Exons: 3
Source: RefSeq, a predicted model, not a curated record